This 343-nucleotide long non-coding RNA is filed under the name Salvia miltiorrhiza (redroot sage). Its description in RNAcentral is "long non-coding RNA (SMIL_LNC006703)". Lineage: Eukaryota; Viridiplantae; Streptophyta; Magnoliopsida; Lamiales; Lamiaceae. The record is from RNAcentral.
UUUUUCAAAGGAAGCUUAGACGGCAGAGUACCAGAAGGAGGUGCCAAUAUUUUCUUUGCAGAUGCUUUGGCCGUCAUCAAUUUUCUGCCUGUUUGAGCAUUGCUGUUUCUUCCGCCUUUGCCAUGCAUACUAUCUGAAUCACCAGGUGCAGAUGAUGGCUUGACCUUAACAGGCUUCAACUUCACUGGAGACUUCUGCUGCUUGGCCACAGAAGUUGCCUUUUUUUCAGUAUCUGAAUCAUCAGGUGCAGAUGAUGGCUUAACCUUAACAGGCUUCAACUUCACAACAGGCUUCAACUUCACAGGAGACUUCUGCAGCUUGGCCACAGAAGUUGCCUUUUUUU